UACGGAGGGGGCAAGCGUUGUUCGGAAUUACUGGGCGUAGAGGGCUCGUAGGCGGCCAACUAAGUCAGACGUGAAAUCCCUCGGCUUAACCGGGGAACUGCAUCUGAUACUGGAUGGCUUGAGUUCGGGAGAGGGAUGCGGAAUUCCAGGUGUAGCGGUGAAAUGCGCAGAUAUCAGGAGGAACACCAAUGGCGAAGGCAGCUCGCUGGGACGUGACUGACGCUGAGACGCGAAAGCGUGGGGAGCAAACAGG
RNAcentral lists this ribosomal RNA (253 nucleotides) under uncultured bacterium. RNAcentral describes it as "partial 16S ribosomal RNA". It matches the Rfam family "Bacterial small subunit ribosomal RNA", at positions 524 to 776 of the family's 1533-position model. The record is from RNAcentral.